RNAcentral lists this ribosomal RNA (380 nucleotides) under uncultured bacterium. RNAcentral describes it as "partial 16S ribosomal RNA". It matches the Rfam family "Bacterial small subunit ribosomal RNA", at positions 355 to 729 of the family's 1533-position model. The record is from RNAcentral.
UGGGGAAUAUUGCACAAUGGGCGCAAGCCUGAUGCAGCCAUGCCGCGUGUGUGAAGAAGGCCUCGGGUUGUAAAGCACUUUCAGCGAGGAGGAAGGUGGUGAACUUAAUACGUUCAUCAAUUGACGUUACUCGCAGAAGAAGCACCGGCUAACUCCGUGCCAGCAGCCGCGGUAAUACGGAGGGUGCAAGCGUUAAUCGGAAUUACUGGGCGUAAAGCGCACGCAGGCGGUUUGUUAAGUCAGAUGUGAAAUCCCCGGGCUCAACCUGGGAACUGCAUUUGAAACUGGCAAGCUAGAGUCUCGUAGAGGGGGUNGAAUUCCAGGUGUAGCGGUGAAAUGCGUAGAGAUCUGGAGGAAUACCGGUGGCGAAGGCGGCCCCC